Molecule: ribosomal RNA, 492 nt
Filed under: uncultured bacterium
Lineage: Bacteria
Description: partial 16S ribosomal RNA
Rfam family: Bacterial small subunit ribosomal RNA
Source: RNAcentral
AGUGAACGCUGGCGGUGGGCCUAACACAUGCAAGUCGAACGGCCAAAUAGUGAGCGCUCGCUUUUACGGGUGGCGAGUGACGGAUGGGUGAGGAAUGGUUCGGCUUCUACUUAUUCGGGGGGGACACCGUCGGGGAAUUUACGCUAUUACCGAACACGUAUUACGGCUGAAAGCAGGGGUAUUUCGGAUUUUGUCCCUUAUUCUGAGGCGAGGUCGGAUUAGCUUGUUCAGGGGGUAAAGGACCACCAUGGCGAGGAUCCGUACCUGGUCUGAGAGGAUGAUCAGCCACACUGGAACUGAGACACGCUCCAUACUCCUACGGGAAGCAGCAGUUGGGAAUAUUGCACAAUGGGCGCAAGCCUGAUGCAGCCAUGCCGCGUGGGUAAAGAAGGUCUUCGGGUUGUAAAGCCCUUUUAUUUGGAAAGAAAAGCUGCAGCUGAAUACCCCGCCGUUCUGACGGUACCCAAAGAAUAAGCACCGGCUAACUUCGUG